This 75-nucleotide transfer RNA is filed under the name Virgibacillus necropolis. RNAcentral describes it as "tRNA-Glu". It matches the Rfam family "tRNA". From Rfam's summary of the family: Transfer RNA (tRNA) molecules are approximately 80 nucleotides in length. The record is from RNAcentral. Lineage: Bacteria; Bacillati; Bacillota; Bacilli; Caryophanales; Bacillaceae.
GGCCCGUUGGUCAAGUGGUUAAGACACCGCCCUUUCACGGCGGUAUCACGGGUUCGAAUCCCGUACGGGUCAUCA